AAGCACCCCUUAGAAUAUUAAUACUUUCAUUAAGAAUUUAUGAAGACAAAUGAUCUCUUGUAUAUAGAUGUUAGAAAAAUUUUCAUAUCAGCUACAAAGGUUAUUCAAUGAUAAUAAAUUUUUCAAAAAGUUGCCAUUGUAAUGUUGAAAACAUAUAGACUAAAAUCAAGUAAUAUAUAGACUAAAAUUAGUUAUCCAAAAAAAAAGCAUAUAGAAAUUAAAUACCUAAAUAUAAAAGCAUUAUAAAAUUAGAUAUCUAAUUGCACUCACAGACUUAGCCUUGUGGUAAGUGCAUCUGAGUAAAUCUGGAAGGUAUCAGAUUCUACUCCCC
Molecule: long non-coding RNA, 331 nt
Filed under: Manihot esculenta (cassava)
Lineage: Eukaryota; Viridiplantae; Streptophyta; Magnoliopsida; Malpighiales; Euphorbiaceae
Description: long non-coding RNA (MESC_LNC011269)
Source: RNAcentral